CUUGGAGCACAUUAUAAUAUGGAAAAUACUUCCGGUUCAGUGUUAAUAGACGGAAGCUACAAUGGAAGGAAUGCCAGUCUUUUUGGAAGUCCUAGUAUAGUGGAAAGUUCAACAGACUUCAAACGUUACGAUCUUGCAAACAACUAGCAAGUGGAAAGAAGAUGAUAU
Molecule: long non-coding RNA, 168 nt
Organism: Gigantopelta aegis
Lineage: Eukaryota; Metazoa; Mollusca; Gastropoda; Neomphalida; Peltospiridae
Exons: 3
Source: RefSeq, a predicted model, not a curated record